GCCCUGGCUCAGUGGUAGAGCAUCAGCUGGGCAUGCAGAAGGUCUCAGGUUCAAUUCCCGGUAUCUCCA
This 69-nucleotide transfer RNA is filed under the name Sphaerodactylus townsendi. RNAcentral's name for it is "tRNA-Ala". Lineage: Eukaryota; Metazoa; Chordata; Lepidosauria; Squamata; Sphaerodactylidae. The record is from RNAcentral.